GUUUGCGAUUCAAACAGUCCAUUGAGUCCAGCAAAGGUGUCGUCUGCAUUCUACAUCAUUACUGUCUGAUUUUCACACGAGGAUAAUAGUAAAAGUGAAAAUGCAUUGGAUACCUAUAGAAGAAAUCCCAAACAGUAUAUUGUAUAGUGAUACGCUCGAAGAGUAUGUCAUAGACGCAAGGGAUUCAAGAAGCCCAAAAGAAAUACAUGAAGUCAUCGAACGCCACAAGGCAGGUUGUCAUUUGCUGGAGGAGGAGGAUCGUAAACUCCAAAUGAUGAAAACUCAGAAAUGAAUCUAACAGAUUAUACCGAAAGCAGCAGUGGCCGUUGGAUAGUGCAGCACAAUACCAAUCGGGGGCAUCACUGAAAACAUAAUGGAAUGUUAUAUUGUAAUACUCAAUGCAGUUCUAUGUGGAUUUUCAUUGUGUUGUAAUUUCAAUUUCCAUUGUGAUAUAAAUGUAAUGUGAGAGACAGCAUCAAAAAGAUUUACACACGUCUUUUUUUAUUUGAAACUUAAGAGUUGUAGGGGUUGCGAUUGUACGGGUACUGCCUUUAUGGGUACAUAAUAAAAGUGAAGUAAAUACAGAUAGAAAUUUGUUAUUACGAGGCAGCACGAAAUCUGAAAGCAAACUUGACAAAUAAGAAAAUAUAGCACAAGUGGGUUGAUGUGUCCGCUCAGCUACUACAUUCCGUAACACAAAUAUAAGUAACAUUGCACUGGACAUAAAAUGUUAAAGCGAUAAA
RNAcentral lists this long non-coding RNA (743 nucleotides) under Daphnia pulicaria. RNAcentral's name for it is "uncharacterized LOC124312536". Lineage: Eukaryota; Metazoa; Arthropoda; Branchiopoda; Diplostraca; Daphniidae. The record is from RNAcentral.